CCUACGGGGAGCAGCAGUGGGGAAUAUUGGGCAAUGGGCGAAAGCCUGACCCAGCAACGCCGCGUGAAGGAAGAAGGCUUUCGGGUUGUAAACUUCUUUUGACAGGGAAGAGCAGAAGACGGUACCUGUCGAAUAAGCCACGGCUAACUACGUGCCAGCAGCCGCGGUAAUACGUAGGUGGCAAGCGUUGUCCGGAUUUACUGGGGGUAAAGGGCGUGUAGCCGGGCUGACAAGGCAGAUGUGAAAUCCGGGGGCUCAACCCCCGAACUGCAUUUGAAACUGUUGGUCUUGAGUAUCGGAGAGGCAGGCGGAAGUCCUAGUGUAGCGGUGAAAUGCGUAGAUAUUAGGAGGAACACCAGUGGCGAAGGCGGCCUGCUGGACGACAACUGACGGUGAGGCGCGAAAGCGUGGGGAGCAAACAGGAUUAGAUACCCCGGUAGUC
This 442-nucleotide ribosomal RNA is filed under the name uncultured bacterium. RNAcentral describes it as "partial 16S ribosomal RNA". It matches the Rfam family "Bacterial small subunit ribosomal RNA", at positions 338 to 795 of the family's 1533-position model. The record is from RNAcentral.